CCUACGGGAGGCUGCAGUGGGGGAUAUUGCUCAAUGGGGGAAACCCUGAUGCAGCGACGCCGCGUGUGGGAAGACGGUCCUCUGGAUUGUAAACCACUGUCCCCAGGGACGAAGAUGACGGUACCUUGGGAGGAAGCUCCGGCUAACUACGUGCCAGCAGCCGAGUUAAUACGUAGGGAGCGAGCGUUGUCCGAAAUUACUGGGUGUAAAGGGAGCGUAGGCGGGGAUGCAAGUUGGGUGUCAAAACUACCGGCUCAACUGGUAGUCGCACUCAAAACUGCAGCGCUUGAGUGAAGUAGAGGCAGGCGGAAUUCCUAGUGUAGCGGUGAAAUGCGUAGAUAUUAGGAGGAACACCAGUGGCGAAGGCGGCCUGCUGGGCUUUUACUGACGCUGAGGCUCGAAAGUGUGGGGAGCAAACAGGAUUAGAUACCCCAGUAGUC
This 440-nucleotide ribosomal RNA is filed under the name uncultured bacterium. RNAcentral's name for it is "partial 16S ribosomal RNA". It matches the Rfam family "Bacterial small subunit ribosomal RNA", at positions 338 to 795 of the family's 1533-position model. The record is from RNAcentral.